GUACGAUGAUGACAAUCUUAGGACACCUUUGGAGGUUAUGGCCAGUGAGAAAAACAACACUUUCUGAGUGCG
Molecule: small nucleolar RNA, 72 nt
Organism: Danio rerio (zebrafish)
Lineage: Eukaryota; Metazoa; Chordata; Actinopteri; Cypriniformes; Danionidae
Gene: SNORD58
Rfam family: Small nucleolar RNA SNORD58
About the family: snoRNA U58 is found in introns 1, 3 and 6 of the ribosomal protein RPL17 gene in humans.
Source: Ensembl